Molecule: ribosomal RNA, 546 nt
Filed under: uncultured bacterium
Lineage: Bacteria
Description: bacterial SSU rRNA
Rfam family: Bacterial small subunit ribosomal RNA
Source: RNAcentral
CGAACGCUGGCGGCGUGCCUAAUACAUGCAAGUCGAACGCGCUCCAUUCGGUAGCAAUACUGAUGAAGAGCGAGUGGCGAACGGGUGAGUAGCACGUGAGCAACCUGCCCCGAAGACUGGGACAACACCGGGAAACCGGUGCUAAUACCGGAUAUCCCUAUCGGACCGCAUGAUCUGAUAAGGAAAUGGAUUCCGCUUCGGGAGGGGCUCGCGGCCUAUCAGCUUGUUGGUGGGGUAAUGGCCUACCAAGGCAUCGACGGGUAGCUGGUCUGAGAGGACGAUCAGCCACACUGGGACUGAGACACGGCCCAGACUCCUACGGGAGGCAGCAGUAGGGAAUCUUGCGCAAUGGGCGAAAGCCUGACGCAGCAACGCCGCGUGGAGGACGAAGGCUUUCUGAGUUGUAAACUCCUUUCAGCAGGGACGAUAGUGACGGUACCUGCAGAAGAAGCACCGGCCAACUACGUGCCAGCAGCCGCGGUGAUACGUAUGGUGCAAGCGUUGUCCGGAUUUAUUGGGCGUAAAGGGCUCGUANGCGGUUUGAUA